This 124-nucleotide ribosomal RNA is filed under the name Sporobolomyces sp. RNAcentral's name for it is "partial large subunit ribosomal RNA". The record is from RNAcentral. RNAcentral also lists the same sequence under 1 other name. Lineage: Eukaryota; Fungi; Basidiomycota; Microbotryomycetes; Sporidiobolales; Sporidiobolaceae.
CGAGUUGUAAUUUGUAGAGGAUGUUUUGGGUACCGCCACGGUUUAAUUUUCUUGGAACAGGAAGCCAAAGAGGGUGAGAGUCCCGUCUUGGACCGCGGUAGGGCUCGUGUAAAACUCCUUCGAC